UGGGGAAUAUUGGACAAUGGGCGAAAGCCUGAUCCAGCCAUGCCGCGUGUGUGAAGAAGGUCUUCGGAUUGUAAAGCACUUUAAGUUGGGAGGAAGGGCAGUAAGCGAAUACCUUGCUGUUUUGACGUUACCGACAGAAUAAGCACCGGCUAACUCUGUGCCAGCAGCCGCGGUAAUACAGAGGGUGCAAGCGUUAAUCGGAAUUACUGGGCGUAAAGCGCGCGUAGGUGGUUCGUUAAGUUGAAUGUGAAAGCCCCGGGCUCAACCUGGGAACUGCAUCCAAAACUGGCGAGCUAGAGUAGGGCAGAGGGUGGUGGAAUUUCCUGUGUAGCGGUGAAAUGCGUGGAUAUAGGAAGGAACACCAGUGGCGAAGGCGACCACCUGGGCUCAUACUGACACUGAGGUGCGAAAGCGUGGGGAGCAAACAGG
This 429-nucleotide ribosomal RNA is filed under the name Pseudomonadota bacterium. RNAcentral describes it as "Proteobacteria bacterium partial 16S ribosomal RNA". It matches the Rfam family "Bacterial small subunit ribosomal RNA", at positions 355 to 776 of the family's 1533-position model. The record is from RNAcentral. Lineage: Bacteria; Pseudomonadati; Pseudomonadota.